AGAGGCUGCCAAGAGAUGUGCUUGAGUAGGAGGUGACUGCCCUGCCAACCGCCAGCCUUGGAUAUCACGCUCUCAAAAGGAAUAUGACAAAUCUGAAGAUAUACCUGAGGAGGUAGCUACAGCUGAACCAGUAUAAAGAGGUGUGUGCUCCCAUGGAUGAUUCAAGCCUGCCCAGCAGCGUUGAUGUAGACAAAGGCUUUGCCAUUGCCUUUGUUGUUCUUCUGUUUCUGUUCCUAAUAGUGAUGAUUUUUCGGUGUGCCAAGUUGGUGAAGAAUCCCUACGAGGCCAGCUCCACAACCACAGAACCAUCUCUGAGCUGAACUAUGAAAAAGCCUGGUGGACGCCCCCUCACAGGAGAUUUGAAAUCUUUUAUACAGACGUUUAUGAUUCAGACUUUAUAUUAUUUUACCUCCCUGUUUUUCAGCUUUCUCGCGCUUGCAUUCCACAAUAGGCACGUGAGGGUGAGUUGGGAAUAAUAAAAAGGGUGAAACACAAGCCAGUUUGUACCGUUCCUGUUCGGGGAAAUGAUUACCAUAGUCAGACAGAGACAGGUUGAAUUCAUUGAUUAAAAUAAGGCCAUGGAUAUCAAUUUUCCAGUAUCUAAUGUCCUUAAGACAGUUGGCCAUAAUUUUAUGAUGUCAUAUAAUAUCAUGAUGCUUGGUAAGGUAAACCUAAAACUAGAAUAACUCUUAGAGGUGAUUCUAGGAGGUCCCUUUAGUUAUGCAAAUAUAAGGCCAGCAGGAACCAAUUGUCCUACGAUAAGAGUCUAACAGGACAUUUUAGUGUGGGAGGUUUUAUAAAAUCUGCUGCCCUUCUCAAGCGGGCAGAGCUCUGUGGUAGAGGGAGACUAAUUUGCCUUGGGUCAAUCCCUUAAUCUCUCUCAGCCCAAACUUCCUUAUCUAUAAAAUAACAUCUGGAGGGUCUAAAAGGGGCCCUGAAAAAGACAUGUCAAUGUCCUCACCCCUGAAACCUAUGAAUGUGGCCUUAUUUGGGAAAAAAAAUCUUUGCAGAUGUAAUUAAGUUACAAAUCUCAAGAUAACCUCAUCCUGGAUUAUCCAAGUGAGCCCUAAAUCCAAUGACAAAGUGUCUUUACAAAAGACAGAAGAGGAGAAGACACAGGGAGACAGGGAAAAGGCCACGUGGAGAUGGAGGCAGAGAUUGGAGUCAUGUGACCAUAAGCUAAAGAACACUUGCCUGGAACCACCAGAAGCUGGAAGAGGCAAGGAAGAAUUCUCCCCAGAGUCUUUGGAGGGAGUACAGCCCUGCCAACACCUUCAUUUUGGACUUCUAACCUCCAGAACUGUGAGAGAAUCAAUUUCUGUUGUUUUAAGCCACCUAAUUUGUGGUAAUUUUGUAUGGCAGUCAUGAGAAACUAAUACAUAACACACGAUGAUGAUGAUGAUGAUGAUGAUGAU
RNAcentral lists this long non-coding RNA (1415 nucleotides) under Equus caballus (horse). RNAcentral's name for it is "lncRNA (ENSECAG00000060259.1)". Lineage: Eukaryota; Metazoa; Chordata; Mammalia; Perissodactyla; Equidae. The record is from RNAcentral.